GUAAUGAUGAUGCAAGAUCGACUAUGUCGAAUAAAAUUCUAGGUAGAAUUAUGAUAAUGACAUUGUCUGCCUAUGUGUCUUGACCAAAUUACGUGCCAGCAGUCGCGGUAAUACGUAGAAGACUAGUGUUAUUCAUGUUUNAUCGGUUUAAAGGGUACCUAGACAGCAAAUCAAGCUUUCAAAAAGAAAAGGACUAAUUUGCUAGAGUUACUUAUGAGGGGGCUUUAAAGUACUGAUGGUGUAGAGAUGAAAUUCUGUCAUACCUCUUUUCAAAAGAAAAAAUGAUGGCACUGGNAUAGGCGAAGGCAUCCCCCUAUGUGAUAACUGACGUUGAGGGACGAAGGCUUUUACAGCGAACAGGAUUAGAUACCCCCGUAGUCUAAGCAGAAAAUGAUGAAUGUCAUAGAUUAGAUGUAUAAGUUUAUUCUAUAAAUGAAAGUGUAAGCAUUCCACCUCCNGAGUAAUUUGGCAACAUUGGAACUGAAAUCAUUAGACCGUUUCUGAAACCAGUAGUGAAGUAUGUUGUUUAAUUUGAUACUCCGCAAAAAACCNUACCNCAAUUUGAAUAUUUAUAUUUUUUAUUGUUUUCUUAUUAAUUUUCUAUGAAGCAUGGUAAAUUAAAAAAGAGGCAAUAAGAUAUCUUUACNAGCGUUGCACGGCNGUCUUCAGUUAAUGUCGUGAGACUCUGGUUAGUUCCAUUAAAUUAACGUAAACCCUUNCUUUAUUUUUAUAUAAAGUAGUU
This 742-nucleotide ribosomal RNA is filed under the name Parmelina coleae. Its description in RNAcentral is "SSU rRNA". It matches the Rfam family "Bacterial small subunit ribosomal RNA", at positions 396 to 1131 of the family's 1533-position model. Lineage: Eukaryota; Fungi; Ascomycota; Lecanoromycetes; Lecanorales; Parmeliaceae. The record is from RNAcentral.